UGCCCAGACUCCUACGGGAGGCAGCAGUGAGGAAUAUUGGUCAAUGGUCGGGAGACUGAACCAGCCAAGCCGCGUGAGGGAGGAAGGUACAGAGUAUCGUAAACCUCUUUUGUCAGGGAACAAAGACUGGGACGCGUCCCCGGAUGAGUGUACCUGAAGAAAAAGCAUCGGCUAACUCCGUGCCAGCAGCCGCGGUAAUACGGAGGAUGCGAGCGUUAUCCGGAUUUAUUGGGUUUAAAGGGUGCGUAGGCGGGACCUUAAGUCAGCGGUAAAAUUGCGGUGCUCAACGCCGUAGAGCCGUUGAAACUGGGGUUCUUGAGUGAGCGAGAAGUAUGCGGAAUGCGUGGUGUAGCGGUGAAAUGCAUAGAUAUCACACAGAACCCCGAUUGCGAAGGCAGCAUACCGGCGCUCAACUGACGCUGAGGCACGAAAGUGCGGGUAUCGAACAGGAUUAGAUACCCCAGUA
Molecule: ribosomal RNA, 466 nt
Filed under: uncultured bacterium
Lineage: Bacteria
Description: bacterial SSU rRNA
Rfam family: Bacterial small subunit ribosomal RNA
Source: RNAcentral